GAUGAACGCUGGCGGCGUGCCUAAUACAUGCAAGUCGAGCGAACGGGCGAGAAGCUUGCUUCUCUGAUGUUAGCGGCGGACGGGUGAGUAACACGUGGAUAACCUACCUAUAAGACUGGGAUAACUUCGGGAAACCGGAGCUAAUACCGGAUGAUAUUUUGAACCGCAUGGUUCAAAAGUGAAAGACGGUCUUGCUGUCACUUAUAGAUGGAUCCGCGCUGCAUUAGCUAGUUGGUAAGGUAACGGCUUACCAAGGCAACGAUGCAUAGCCGACCUGAGAGGGUGAUCGGCCACACUGGAACUGAGACACGGUCCAGACUCCUACGGAGGCAGCAGUAGGGAAUCUUCCGCAAUGGGCGAAAGCCUGACGGAGCAACGCCGCGUGAGUGAUGAAGGUCUUCGGAUCGUAAAACUCUGUUAUUAGGGAAGAACAUAUGUGUAAGUAACUGUGCACAUCUUGACGGUACCUAAUCAGAAAGCCACGGCUAACUACGUG
RNAcentral lists this ribosomal RNA (496 nucleotides) under uncultured bacterium. RNAcentral's name for it is "partial 16S ribosomal RNA". It matches the Rfam family "Bacterial small subunit ribosomal RNA", at positions 28 to 507 of the family's 1533-position model. The record is from RNAcentral.